GACGAACGCUGGCGGCGUGCUUAACACAUGCAAGUCGAACGAUGAAGAAGAGAAACGCGUCCUUCGGUUCAAAUUUCACUUCGGAUUAGUGGCAGACGGGUGAGUAACGCGUGAGCAACCUACCUCUUACAAAGGGAUAGCCUCGGGAAACCGUGAUUAAUACCAUAUGACACAUUCAUAAGGCAUCUUAAGAAUGUUAAAGCUACGGCGGUAAGAGAUGGGCUCGCGUCCCAUUAGCUAGUUGGUGAGGUAACGGCCCACCAAGGCGACGAUGGGUAACCGGGCAGAGAGGGUGAACGGUCACAUUGGAACUGAGACACGGUCCAAACUCCUACGGGAGGCAGCAGUGGGGAAUAUUGCACAAUGGAGGGAGCUAUGAUGCAGCGACGCCGCGUGAGCGAUGAAGGAAUGCGUUUCGUAAAGCUCUGUUCUAUGGGAAGAAAAGGACUGUACCAUAGGAGAAAGCCCCGGCUAAAUACGUG
Molecule: ribosomal RNA, 482 nt
Filed under: uncultured bacterium
Lineage: Bacteria
Description: partial 16S ribosomal RNA
Rfam family: Bacterial small subunit ribosomal RNA
Source: RNAcentral